Molecule: long non-coding RNA, 274 nt
Filed under: Elaeis guineensis (African oil palm)
Lineage: Eukaryota; Viridiplantae; Streptophyta; Magnoliopsida; Arecales; Arecaceae
Description: long non-coding RNA (EGUI_LNC070689)
Source: RNAcentral
GUUACAGGACCCGAUGGGUCGGAAAAAAAAAAAAAAAAAAAAAGAGAUAUACAUCAUUGCGAGCCUCGCGAUUAUGGCUUGGAAAGGAUAUACCGGAGUCCGCUUCAAGCUACGAACUCCUCUUCCCGUCUCUGUCCUCCUCAGCCGCGUUCUCCAGUGCGUGUAGCAGACCUAUCGGCUCUCGUUCCGUCUCACUUCACUCCAUCUCCGAAGUCCCAACCCUAGGGGGAAAAGGGUGGGAUAGAUUCUUGGGGGCUGUAAAGGCAACGGCGGC